CCCUUUCUUUUCAAGAUGCCUGAGGAAGUAGACCAUGGAGAGGAGGAGGUGGAGACUUUUGCCUUUCAGGCAGAAAUUGCCCAACUCAUAUCUCUCAUCAUCAAUACAUUCUAUUCCAACAAGGAAGUUUUCUUUGGGAGUUGAUCUCCAAUGCUUCUGAUGCCUUGAACAAGAUUCACUAUGAGAGCCUGACAGACCCUUCCAAGUUGGACAGUGGGAAAGAGCUGAAAACUGACAUCAUCCCAAACCCUCAGGAACACACCCUGACUUUGGUGGACACAGGCGUUGGUAUGUCCAAGGCUGACCUCAUAAACAACUUGGGAACCUUUGCCAAGUCUGGUAUUAAAGCAUUUAUGGAGGCUCUUCAGGCUGGUGCAGACAUCUCCAUGAUUGGGCAGUUUGGUGUUAGGUUUUAUUCUGCUUAUCUGGUGGCAGAGAAGGUGGUGAUCACAAAGCACAAUGACAACAAGCAGUAUGCCUGGGAGUCUUCUGCUGGGGGUUACCUCACUGUUCGUGCUGACCAUGAUGAGUCCAUUGGCUGAGGUACCAAAGUGAUCCUCCACCUCAGAGAAGAUCAUACAGAGUACUUAGAGGAGAGGCAGGUCAAAGAAGUGGUAAAGAAGCACUCGCAGUUCAUGGGCUAUCCCAUCACCCUCUAUUUGGAAAAGGAACGGGAGAAGGAGAUCAGUGAUGACGAGGCAGAGGAAGAGGAAGGUGAGAAAGAGGAGGAAGAUAAGGAUGAGAGAAGAAGCCCAAGAUUGAAGAUGUGGGCUCAGAUGAGGAAGAUGACAGUGGUAAGGAUAAGAAAAAGAAAACCAAGAAGAUUAAGGAGAAAUACAUUGAUCAGGAAGAACUGAACAAGACCAAGUCCAUUUGGACAAGGAACCCUGAUGACAUCACUCAGGAAGAAUAUGGAGAAUUCUACAAGAGCCUCACUAAUGACUGGGAAGAUCACGUGGCAGUUAAACACUUCUCUGUAGAAGGUCAGCUGGAAUUCAGGGCAUUGCUCUUUGUUCCCCUUUGACCUUUUUGAGAACAAGAAGAAGAAGAACAACAUCAAACUUUACAUCCACCAUGUGUUUAUUAUGGAUAGCUGUGAUGAGUUGAUACCAGAGUAUCUGAACUUUAUUCGAGGUGUGGUUGAUUCUGAGCACUUACCCCUGAAUAUCCCCCGAGAAAUGCUCGAGCAGAGCAAAAUCUUGAAAGUCAGCACAAAAACAUUGUGAAGUGCCUUGAGCUCUUUUCUGAGCUGGCAGAGAAAAGGAGAACUACAAGAAAAGAAAAAAAAAAGAAGUUCUAUGAGGCAUUCUCUAAGAACUAAAGCUUGGAAUUCAUAAGGACUCCACCAAUCGACGACUGCUUUCUGAGCUGCUGAGCUAUCUCACCUCUCAGUCUGGAGAUGAGAUGACUUCCCUGUCAGAGUCUGUCUCUCCAUUAAAGGAGACUCAGAAGUCCAUCUACUACAUCACAGGCAAGAGUGAAGAGCAGGUGGCCAACUCAGUCUUCGUAGAGCAGUUGAGGAAGCCCGGCUUUGAGGUGGUGUACAUGACAGAGCCCAUUGAAAGAAGUACCUGCAUAGAGAGCGUGAAGGAAGUUGAUGGGAAGAGCCUGGUGGUCCCCUGUGACCAGGAGGGGCCUGGAGUGCUUGAGGAUGAGGAGGAGAAGAAAAUGGAAAGAAAGAGCAAGGCAAAUAUUUGAGAAUUCUGGCAAGCCUCAUGAACGAAAUCUUGGAUAAGAAGGUUGAAGAAAGGUGACAAUCUCCAAUAGGCCUUGUGUCUUCUCCUGCUGCAAUUGUGACAGCACCUAUGACUGGACAGGCCAACAUGGAAAUGGAUCAAUGAAGGUCCAGGCAUUUAGAGACAACUCUACCAGUGGGUAAAUGAUGGCCAAAAAACAACCUGGAGGGGGGAAUUCCUGAACCCACCCCCAUUAUGGACACACUGAGGCAGAAGGCUGAGGCAGACAAAAAUGACAAGGCUGUCACGGACCUGGUGGUGCUCUGGUUUGAAACUGCGCUGCUUUCUUCUGGCUUUUUCCUUGAGGACCCCCCAGACCCACUCCAACUGCAUC
Castor canadensis (American beaver) is the source of this 2070-nucleotide non-coding RNA. The record is from RefSeq and is a predicted model, not a curated record. NCBI's taxonomy places the organism in Eukaryota, Metazoa, Chordata, Mammalia, Rodentia, Castoridae.